Molecule: transfer RNA, 73 nt
Filed under: Ictidomys tridecemlineatus (thirteen-lined ground squirrel)
Lineage: Eukaryota; Metazoa; Chordata; Mammalia; Rodentia; Sciuridae
Description: Spermophilus tridecemlineatus (thirteen-lined ground squirrel) tRNA
Rfam family: tRNA
About the family: Transfer RNA (tRNA) molecules are approximately 80 nucleotides in length. Their secondary structure includes four short double-helical elements and three loops (D, anti-codon, and T loops).
Source: Rfam by way of RNAcentral
GGGGAUAUGGCUCAGUUGGUAGAGUGUUUGCCUCACAUGCACAAGGCCCCGGGUUCAAUCCCCAGCACUACUA